UCGAGUUCUUAAACCCGCAGCGGAGAAGUCAACCUCCGGUCUCACCUCAGCUGUAGACACCAACACGACCUCCUCCUCCGUUCCCCCUGCUGAAAGGCUUGGGCCUCGAGCUUUGCGAUCUGCGCUUCUUGUCAGCAGGGACUUCUCCGUGCGCCCCCCGCCCGUGCACUUCCGGGUUGGUGCUAACCUGCGCAUGCUCCAAAGCUGGCGUCCCUUCUUUGGCGCUUUCCUACUCAUUUCCGGGUAAGACGGCUGCUGGCCCGGCAGCUCGUCCCUGGUCCCGAGUCACACCUGUUUGGGUUCUGCGUCUGUGCAGGAAGGCAUCUUCAGGCCCCGCUCGAGGGCUGCCUCCCCACUUUCUCACAAUACAGGUCCUGGAGGGCCCGUGCGCACCGAGAGAUUGGUUUCCUGUGAAAAAGCUUUCUAGUGGUUAUCGAGGAUGCAGCCCUGAAUAAAAUAGAACUGCCCUGUGGCACUCGGGAGACACACAUUAGCUCUGCCUCUUUUCUGGGUGGACACAUGUAUGGUGAUUUGGAUUCCAGUCCCAAUUCUGCUGGGUGACCCUGGACAAAUAAGUGGCUUCAGUUUCCUCAUCUGUAAAAUUGGGGUUGCCUUGGAGAUUUGAUGACCUCAUGCAUGAAGAGCAUGGGUCUGGCCCACGCAGGAAGACAGAACUACGAGGAGAAGUAGACAAGUUCACCAUCACGGAGGAGCAGUCUUUGGGCUUGAACAGAAGACUCUCAGCUUCACCCCUGCAAAUGAGAAUUUGGUCAGGCCUGAGGGAUGGGCAUGUUGAGCCCGAGGCACUUGCAUAACUGGAGUGAAAGGACAAGAGCUGGGGGUGCCCAGAAGAGCUUGCCAGCUGCCGACACAAGCGACAAGGAGAGGUAUGGAGCCUCCUACAGACGGUUGGCGACAGAGUUGAUUCAUCUGGGGAAGGUAAUUUGUCAAUAUUUAAAAUAUCAAAUGCAUGUACCAUAUAAUAACAGCGGCAUCUCUUACAAAAUGUAUAAAUGUACUGACAUUUAUGGAAAAGGAUGUUCCUUGUAGCAUUAUUUAUAACAGUGGAAAAUUAGAGAUACUUUUUCUUAUUCGUUCAUUUAUUUAUCAAGUACCAAAUGCCUAUUCUGUGCUAGAUACUGUUUUAGGCACCUGGGUAUACAGAACAAAUGAAACAGACAUGGUGACUGCUGGCAAGGGCUUCCCAGCGUACAGGGAGGAACCACAUACUAAAAAAAUGAACAGCCAAAUAUGCAAAUCAAACUGUCCUAGCGCAGUGUGGGAUAAUGUCAAGUGGUGAGGGUUACUUGAGAUGGGGUGAUCAGGGAAGGCCUCUCUAAAGUGACGUUGGCAAGAAAACCUGAAAGAAGAGGCGACCCGGCCAGGUCAAGCAGAGGAGAAACUGUGUGCAGAGACUGAGAGCUUGGCUGCUCGAGGCCAGGCCAGCAGAGUGAUGUCGAUGAAAGUAGGAUGAGCCCCCAAGGGCUUAGAGACCGGGAGAGGCAGGGACAGAUGGCACAGGGCCUGGAAGCCAGGAAGAGAGGAUGGGAAUGGACAGUGGACAAUGACACGAUCCAAUUAUGUUCUUCAAAGGCCCCCCUGGCUGUGAUAUGAACCAACGAGGAUGAGGACAAGUAGAAAAGCCAGGUUGGAAGCUUUUGGAGUCCAGGUGAGAGAUCCUAGUUGCUAUGCAUUGGAGAGAAGCAGGUUUGUGCCAGACACAUUCUGGAGAUAGACGCAGUAGGACUCGAUGAUGAAUUGCGUGUGGGCAGUAAGGGAGUGGGCGUCAAGAACGGCUGUUGUGUGUUGGUGGGAUAGUGGUGCGCAUAGUUGCCUUCUAAGAAUGGCUUUCUGAGCACUGUACACCUGUCCAAACGGCCUCCAGGGCCACCAGGUGCCACAAGGAGGCGGAGCGCUGAGUCUCUUCUAUGGCUGGAAGGAAUGCAGAGUGGUACAACCGACAGCAAACAAGUGGAAGGUAUCUUUAAAAGUGAAACACUCAACUACCAGAUGACUCAGCCAUCCCUCUCCUGGAUAUUUGACCCAGAGAAGUGAAAACUCGAGUCCACACAGAAAACCAGUGCGUGAAUGUUUCGAGCAGCUCUAUCCAUGACUGUCCUGAACUGAAAGAACCCAAGUGUCCUUCAGUGGGUGCACGGAUAAGCAAAUGGUGAUGUAGCCAGACAGUGGAACGAACCACUUAGCACUGAAAGGAAACAAACCGUGAUGCUCACAGUAAGUGGGGCGAAUUUCAGAGACCUUUUGCUGAGUGGAAGAAGAGUGUCAAAAGGUUAAAGACUGGAUGCUUCCAUUUAGGUGUCGUUUUUGAAGAGAUAAAUACGAUAGACCUGUGGUUGUCGGUGGUUAGGAGCCAGGGGAAGAAGUGACUAUAACUGUUGUUUAUCUUGAUCGUGGUGGUGGUUACAGGAAUCCAUGAGUGUUAAAAUUCACGGAACUGUUUAGUCCUCCCUGAAAAAGUUCCUUUUUAUUGUAUGAUCAUUUUAAAAAUAUAAAAAAAAAAAAUGAAACCUUUAAAAAAAAAAAGAUUCCUGGGUUUCUGGCAGGGGCAGGUAGGUGGAUGGUGUUGCUGGGGUGGGGGUUCAGAUGUGGGGAAGGGAAUGAAGAGCUCAGUUCGGACGUGUGAAGUUGAGAUGUUCAGAGUUGGGCGCACAAGAGUCUGGGGCUGGAGAUGGAAAUUUGGGAGUCCUCAAUGGUGAAAGCCGUCGUCAUGGAUUAGAACACCUGGGGAGAGAGGGUGGAGAGCAAAAGCAAAAGGGGACGGCCUUCCAGAACAAUGCCUACCGGAGCAUGGGAGCGGGAGGAGGAGCCAGGGUUGAGAUAGAGGCCCCCAGGGAUUGUGGGAGCUCCUCCGUGGGCGCCUCUGCUCUGCCCUGCCUGUGUCUGCCAGAGACCUCCCUUGAGAGGGCGGGGUGGCGGGUAGCUUUAGAGCAGGGCUGCUGGCCGGGGCAGGGACUUGGAAAUGCUAAGAACGAUUUUAGAAAGUCAGCAGAUCUCUGCAGCUGUUUGCCAUCGGAUCCGGGCAAAGUUAUCUCUGAGCUGCACUUGUGGCAAAAUGACACUUCCUCCCGCUUCUUCCGUCACCCAUUCCCAGUAUCUGAACCCUCCUCGGUGUCCACCGCUGCAGGGGCCACACUGGAAGCCUGAGAACCAGAUCACAGCCCUCAGGCCUGCCUCUUUUUCACCGCACACAACACUGUAACGUUUCAUCGGCUUUAAAAAAAAAAAGGGGGGGGGGGUAAGAUUUCAAAAAACAGCGGUAACAGCUGGGUUUUCAGCUGGGAGAAGCGGAAGGUAUGGCAGCCCUGAGCCCACAGCCCUUCUUGGUGACAAGACAGGAGUUGAGUUCUGACGAGCUGUGCAUCCCCCAGUUGGCCAUAGACCGUGUGGGUCUCCGGCACCCAGAUAAGAGCUGGUUGCCACCGAUCACAUGCUUGCGCCAUGGUUUCUGCCCUUUCCUGUAACCUGGGUGCCCGUAUUACAGCAGUCACGUCUGAGCAGAAGGGCACAGCAAAAGCAGAGACCUGCGUGGCUUUUUGAAAUGUGGGAAGGUUUAUCGCCGACGUUAUGUACACAUAUAAUAUGAGGUGACACAGAGAGCCGAGGUGACGUGACUUUUUUUAAUCAACUAUUUUUAGAGAGGCUAAAUUUACACGCAGUAAAAAUGCAGCCAUUUUAAGCACACAGUUCGAGAGGUUUUGACAAACGUAGAAAUCUCUGUAACCCCCUACCCCAGUCAAAUUCUAGAACACUUCCAUCACUCUCAAAUGUCCCUCUGGCAUCUUCCCCAUUCAUCCUUCCCCCUUCUCCUCCGUGGCUCCUGGCAACCACUGAUCUGCUUUCUCUCAGUACAGGGGUUCUGGGACCAAUUCUGAACAGGGGUGGCGGGGGAUGGCUUCCCCCACACCACCAAGCAAUUCUCUAGAUACCAGCUGGGUGUCUUGCGAUGCAACUUAACUCUCCCUAGAGAUAGUGUCACAUUCCACAGCUCAAGGGGCUCGGUCCUACAAGACUACCCUACCCCCACGCACUCCGCCGCCAUGUCAGACACCAGUUGCUGGUCCAAGCUGUCACCUGUGCUUCUGACACACUGGCUACAGUUCGAGGUAACCAUGACCCCCUUUUCGGGUUCAGUGAAUUUGCUAGAGCGGUUCACAGAACUCACAGAUACAUUUUACAUACGAGAUCGCCCAUCAGUUCUAAAAGGCCAUGACCCAGGGACAGCCAGAUGGAAGAGACACAUAGAGCAAAGCAUGAGAUGGGGGAGGCGUGUGAAGCUUCCAUACCCUCUCCUAGUGCUCCGCUCUCCCCAAAUCUCCACGUGUUCACCAAGUGGAAGCAUUCUGAGCCCCGCUCGUUUGAGUUCAUAUGGAGGCUUCAUUACACGGGCGCGAUUGAUUCAUUGAUUACAUAGGCCAUUGGGACGGAUUCAACCUCCAGCGCCUCCCCCUGUCUCCAGAAGUCAGAAGGUCAGGACUGAAAAUACCAACCCUCUAAUCCCUCAGUUGGUUCCUCUGGCACCUAGCCCCCACUUUUAGGUGGGGGUCCAAGAGUCACCGCCGCAUAACAAAAGACAGCUUCGUUGCUCUCAUCACUUAGGAAAUCCCAAAGCUUUUAGGAGCUCUGUGGCAGGAAUGGGCCACCGCUGGACAACUAUAAUCCUUGGCUGAAGACCAAAUACAUUUUUUAUGAUAAAUCACAGUGUCAGAGUCAGAGGCUGUAUGGUCACCUUUGCCAGCAGUGUGUUACUUUUAUUGCCUAGGGGUAUGCCGUUGCAUGGCUACAUCACAGUUUUUACAUCCAUUCUCUUUUUAAAACAGAUUUUUUUUUAAUGUUUAUUUUUGAGAGAGAGAGAGAGACAGAGCGCGAGCAGGGGAGGGGCAGAGAGAGACGGAGGCACAGAAUCGGAAGCAGGCUCCAGGCUCUGAGCUGUCGGCACAGACCCCGACGCGGGGCUUGAACCCGUGAACCACAAGAUCAUGACCUGAGCCGAAGUCAGACGCUUAACCGACUGAGCCACCCAGGUGGCCCCACAUCCUUUCGCUUUCGAUGGUCACCUGCACCAUUUCCCGAAUGGGGCUAUUAUGAUCAAAGCUGCCGUGAAUAUCUCUGUACAGUCUGCGUUCACGGGGUUGCUCUCAUCCUCCUGAGUGACACCCAGGAAGACAUCGCCGGGUUGUGAGGUCAGAAGUGAUGCCUCCAAAGCCCUCGUGCGUCUCUCUGGUCCCGGAGCCUGGCCGGAUGCCUCACCAGGCUGGCUGGGGUCCGGUUGGCGUGCAACAACAGCAGCGAGCGCUGCCACUACCCCCACCCGGGGCCCAAACUUGCUGGCCUGUUUGUUCAGCUCGCUCUGCAGUGAACUUUCCUGUUUACAUCUUUUCCAGCUGACCUUUUGAUUCACAGCAUAUAAUUUGAUUGUUUUCCGAAGGAUAAACAAACAAUGAGUUAUUUUGAAGGCGGUUUCUAGGGUGUUGGGAAGAGGAGGUUUGUGCUCUAAGCACCAAGAACCACUAGGAAACAAUUACCAGAAAGGGGAGGGGGGUGCAGGGACACGGUAAGCAGCAAGCCCCUAAUUGUGGGCAUAAAUUGUUAAGUGGUGAAUUAGACAUCCAGGAAAUCAUCUCCUCAUCUUCACGUAGCCAUUACCUGUGGUACGGUGACUCCACAGGCAGGAAGACUGGGUAGCUCUCCUGUUUCUAAGAACACCGACUGGGGCCAAGUGUCCUUCCAUAGGACAUCGCUCACGAUCCCCAUCCCCAUUCAUUCAACACUCUCUUGUUUCCAUGGCAAUCUAUGUCCCAUAAUAAGCACAGGAAUUUUUUUCUUAGUUAUUUUAUUUAUUUAUUUUUGUAUAAUUUAUUGUCAAGUUAGCGAAUAUAGAGUGUACAACAGUGUGCUCUUG
Long non-coding RNA from Felis catus (domestic cat), 5920 nucleotides. RefSeq lists it as uncharacterized. The transcript is spliced from 7 exons. NCBI's taxonomy places the organism in Eukaryota, Metazoa, Chordata, Mammalia, Carnivora, Felidae. The record is from RefSeq and is a predicted model, not a curated record.